Molecule: non-coding RNA, 2763 nt
Organism: Caretta caretta (loggerhead turtle)
Lineage: Eukaryota; Metazoa; Chordata; Testudines; Cheloniidae
Source: RefSeq, a predicted model, not a curated record
GGUUUCUAAGAAGUAGGGGGCUGCAGGGUAUUGGGGCACAGAAGGCUGCUGUUCAGGAAGUGGGGCAAACUCGGUGCAGUUGGCUGCAGGAACACAGGAGGGAGAAGGAAGUUAGAGGGAGCCUUGUGGCCUCUCUGCGGGGAUGAGAACCACCGCCCAUCCUGGGAACUCCUUCCUGACUGAAAUCCAGCAAGGUGAGGAAGGAGAGAAAAGAUGCCUGCCUGAAUGACUUCUCAACAUUGCAGCAAUGGCCCUGGGGACCAAAAGGCAGAGUUUCUGCAGCUCAACCAGACUGAGCUGUGACUAUCACGCGAUGUGUGUGACACCUGGGAGCCCUGAUGAGAGACUUUACCUGUCGGCGGAAGUCAUUCAAGUCCUCCAGUUUUUUACGAUACACUUCAACUGUUGACUCCAGUUUACUUGCCUUAUCUGCAAAAGUUCUACAAGAAUAAAUAUGAAUUAUGGAAACAGUAAGAUGUAUUUUUCACACAAACAAACUGCAACCAAGCAAAUCAGUCCCUCAGAGUCACAUUGGCUGUCUCCUACUUCAUUUCAACACCAUAUACAUUAUGCUGAAACCAUGGCGCACCACUGGAUGAUGAAAUGAACAAAUACGUAUUGUGUAAUUUCAAAAAUAUGGACGCCUAUUUUACAAAAUAUACUUUCCAUUAGUACAUACUAAUAUACUUUAGUUACCAUAUGUACAUUCAUGCUCAACUAUACAUACUUUUAACAACUACUCCCGGUCAUGACAUGCAAAGAGGAUAGACCAACCAGAUUUGUGUGAACUACCAUCAAGUUAACUACUCCAAACAGAAGUCUAUAACAGCUGUGUGGUAGUUCUGACUUCUCAAAAUGAUGCAUCAUAGGUAUCACAGCACAACCAGAAAUGGCAAUUUGGGACUGAAGCAGAAAUGGCUGGCAUAAAGUUACAGGCUAAAAAUCUUUCCUUAGCUUUGCUAUUUGGUAAAUUCAGCACAAUCAUACAUUUACAGUGGGUGCAAUUACCAGAAAUCAUUUACCAUACCACCUCUGCAAAAGCAAGUUGAUCAAGUUUUGAACACUGAGCAAAACACAUUUUCAGGGUGAGGCCUCUUAUAUCAAGUUUCAGAAUUACAGACCCCUGAAAGUUUGGUUUUAGAAAGAAAGCUGCAGGUGGAACCUUACAUAACAGAAAGAGAAUGGGAACACUAUCAUGCAGGGGAGAAGGAUUACCUCACCUCAGCUCGACUUUACUGAUUUUGUAGACGUACUCGAAGUGACUUGCUUGCCUAAGGUCAGAGAGAAUCUGCAGCAGGGCAGAGAACUGAACCCGAGACUCCAGCAUACAAGACAAGCAACCAGGCUACUGACCAUCCUUCCUCGGAUAGCAACUGGAAGGUCAAUGUCAUCAUAGGGGAAACAUCUGAGCUCUUUCUUGGGGAGUGCUUUUAAAUUAAUGAUAAUUAUAACUUCAAGAACAGAACUCUGGGUUUGGGAUCACAUACAACUCAAAUAUUUUCCAGGAUCUCUCUGCAGUAUCUGUACUCAUCUGCACUUUCUAACCUAAAUGGAGGUUGAUAGCAGCCUUACUCCUUGCUCUUCCUGUCAUAUCCUCCCGCAGUCUCUACUCAGGCAACAGAGGAUAAGAUCAGCCAUUUCACGUCUUUUAAAAAAAAGCUAAGUUUAUGUGCACUGCUUUACUCAGCCAUUCACCUACCUCUUGCACUAUGGGAGACAAUGAAAGAUAAGAGUUAAAUUUACUCUAACUUCCUAGGGUAGCAACAGCAUGUUGCUCUGCCUUUUGUGAAAUACAAGUCUGGGCAUUGAUUUUGGUAAGCUGGUCUGAAGGAAAAAACCACUGGCUGUAUAAAGCAAGAAGCAAGUUAAUUUGUAUAGAUGAAGGACUGAAACGUCUUUCUUUGAAGAUGAUGGGAGAGGCACCUUUGUGUCUACUCUCUGAAUUUUCAAGCAUGAUGUGAAUAAAUUAUUUUUGAAACUCUUAACAUUGCUUUGACUAUUAUAACGAACAUAAAGCAAUUACCUGUUGCUCCAUUUCACCAGAUGUAUCAUUUGUGACAGAACUCAGUAUUUCCUUGCUCAUGAGCUAAAAAAAAAAAAAAAAAAAAUGCCACAUACAUUAUAUCUGUUUGCACUAUUUUACUAUAGAGCUAGUGGCUUCUGUUAUUGAAUAAAAACUUGGAUUUACCACCUCUCCCCCAUUUAACUUCAGUAGUUGUUAGUGGACAGAUACAGAAGUUUCCUGCAUAUCCUUGGGAAACCUUAUUGAAUUAAGGUUAAGUAUCUUUGGGGGUGUCAAAAUAUAAAGGGAAGGGUAAACACCUUUAAAAGCCCUCCUGGCCAGAGGAAAAACCCUUUCACCUGUAAAGGGUUAAGAAGCUAGGAUAACCUCACUGGCACCUGACCAAAAUGACCAAUGAGGAGACAAGAUACUUUCAAAGCUGGAGGGGGGGAGAAACAAAGGUUUGCUCUGUCUGUGUGUUGUUUUUGCCAGGAACAGAAAAGGAAUGGAGUCUUAGAACUUAGUAAGUAAUCUAGCUAGAUAUGCAUUAGAUUCUGGUUUCUUUGAAUGGCUGAUAAAAUAAGCUGUGCUGAAUGGAAUGGAUAUUCCUGUUUUUGUGUCUUUUUGUAACUUAAGGUUUUGCCUAGAGGGACUCUCUAUGUUUUGAAUCUGAUUACCCUGUAAGGUAUUUACCAUCCUGAUUUUACAGAGGUGAUUUUUUUACUUUUUCUCCAAUUAAAAUUCUUCUUUUAAGAACCUGA